This 281-nucleotide ribosomal RNA is filed under the name uncultured bacterium. Its description in RNAcentral is "partial 16S ribosomal RNA". It matches the Rfam family "Bacterial small subunit ribosomal RNA", at positions 30 to 294 of the family's 1533-position model. The record is from RNAcentral.
AUUGAACGCUGGCGGCAUGCUUUACACAUGCAAGUCGAGCGGCAAGCGCGGGGCUCGGGCAACUGAGUUUUGGCGGCGAGCGGCGAACGGGUGAGUAAUACAUCGGGAACGUAUCCUGUAGAGGGGGAUAGCCCGGCGAAAAGCCGGAUUAAUACCGCAUAUGCUCUACGGAGGAAAAGCGGGGGGACUUCGCAAGGAGCCUCGCGCUAUAGGAGCGGCCGAUGUCCGAUUAGCUUGUUGGCGGGUAAAGCCCACCAAGGCGACGAUCGGUAGCUGGUCUG